AAAAUUUGUCAUUUUAUGUUUGGACAACAACCCCCCCCCCCCGUUCUUUCUGGUCGUCCUGUGUGUCGCUGGCAAACCUACACUCCCCACUGCGAUAGGCAGUCAAGUAUUUUUAACCUGCACAUUUUUGUUUUUAUUUCCCGUAUUUUUAUUUUUUUAUGUUCAGAAAUAUCAUGACCCAUGACUUUAAGCCUGGAAGGAGUUGAGAGUCCCCACUCAACUGCAUGCCUUCCGAACAUAUUAGACUCCAUUUUACAUGCGACCAUUUUACCGGUACACGAAAUUUCAAAUUUUGGCGAGCGUACAUUUUCGAUUGACUAUAUACCAAUUACUGUGGGCCCCUUUAAAAAUUGCUAAAUUUUAAGAAAACAACACAAAAUAACGUAUCACAAUACAAAACUACUACAGAAUACAAUGCAGUGCAACGCAAUGCAAUUUAAUGCAAUGCAAUGCAACGCAACGCAAUCCGACGUGAGGUAGGUAAUUGUAACGCAAUGCAGUGCAACAGCAAUGCAAUUGAAUGCAGUGCAAUGCAACGCAACGCGGUGCAAUAUGCAACAAGAACAAGAUUCAAUCACCAACACCAGUGCCUAUGUUAGUUUUAGUUACGAUGAAAGUGCCAUUCAGGGGGAUAAGUGUAUGAACGUUUUUAUUAAACUGCAUGCUAAAAAUUUCUGUUGACUGUUAGAAUGGUCGCUUGUAAGUGGGGGUAACUUGCUAGGAUUUGCACAUUUAAAUAUCUACAGGUGCAUUAGGUCUCUUAGGUUUUAGUUUAAGACCAAUAUGAGCGAGUGAGAUAAUAAACUCGACCAGCUAAGUUAAGGCUUCAAGCGUGAAAUGCACGCAUUAGACCCCUCAGGAACGGAACCCAAACCUUUUUUCAACACCAAAUGUGAAAUUACCCCCACCUUACCACAUCGUUGAAGUACAAUGGUGGAUAUCCUGGGCAAAUGUGCAUUAUUGUGGUGGAUAUCUUGGUCAAUAUGUACAAUACUAUAAUACUGAUCAACCCUUAAAAUGGUUGAAAUUUUAAUACAGUAGCAUGCAUGAGAGUUUCGGCUGCGGACGCAAUUUCAUUUUGCUUUAUAAACUUACAAAAUGCAUGGUUGAAAUUUUAAUACAGUUGCAUGAGAGUUUAGGGUUCGCGCGUGGUUUGAAUUCGCCUCAACGUCUUCUUGAAUGAGUUCAACAAAGGAUCAGAUUGGUGAGAGGGUUGGCCGCGCGCGCUGCAUGUUUCAGUUGUAAAUGGUUGAAAUUUUAAUACAGUAGCAUGCGUGAGAGUUUCGGCUAGGUGCGCGCGUGGUUUGAAUUCGCCUCAACGUCUUGUUGAAUUAGUUCGACAAAGGAUCAGAUUGGUGAGAGGGUUGGCCGCGCGCGCUGCAUGUUUCAGUUGUAAAUGGUUGAAAUUUUAAUACAGUAUACCAUGCACAAUAGUUUCGGCUAGGUGCGCGCAUGGUUUGAAUUCGCCUCAACGUCUUGUUGAAUUAGUUCGACAAAGGAUCAGAUUGGUGAGAGGAUUGGCUGUGCGCGCU
Molecule: non-coding RNA, 1532 nt
Organism: Paramuricea clavata
Lineage: Eukaryota; Metazoa; Cnidaria; Anthozoa; Malacalcyonacea; Plexauridae
Source: the annotation of a GenBank genome assembly